CUUAACACAUGCAAGUCGAACGGACCUGCUACACCAACUAGCAAUAGGCGGAGUGGUAGGUUAGUGGCGGACGGGUGAGUAACACGUGGGUGACCUGCCCUGAAGUGGGGAAUAACUGCUCGAAAGAGUGGCUAAUACCGCAUGCGAUCUACCAUUCGUUUGGUAGAUCAAAGGCCCGCAGGGGUCGCUUCUGGAUGGGCUCGCGUCCGAUUAGGUAGUUGGUGUGGUAAUGGCGCACCAAGCCGAUGAUCGGUAGGGGGCGUGAGAGCGUGACCCCCCACACUGGCACUGAAACACGGGCCAGACUCCUACGGGAGGCAGCAGUGAGGAAUAUUGCACAAUGGGCGAAAGCCUGAUGCAGCAACGCCGCGUGGGUGAUGAAGGCCUUCGGGUCGUAAAACCCUUUUCUGGGGGAAGAGGANGGACGG
This 428-nucleotide ribosomal RNA is filed under the name uncultured bacterium. RNAcentral's name for it is "bacterial SSU rRNA". It matches the Rfam family "Bacterial small subunit ribosomal RNA", at positions 47 to 458 of the family's 1533-position model. The record is from RNAcentral.